UUUUUAGAUAGAAUCAUCUGUUUUAUAUUUUAUAUUCCACAUAUAAGUGAUAUCAUAUGGUAUUUGUCUUUUUCUUUCUGGCUUACUUCAUUUAGUAUGACAGUCUCUAGAUCCAUCCAUGUUGAUGCAAAUGGCAUUAGUUUGUCUUUCUUUUAUGGCUGAGAAAUAUUCCAUUGUAUAUACAUACCACAUCUUCUUAAUCCAUUCAUCUGUUGAUGGACAUUUAGGUUGUUUCCAUGUCUUGGCUAUUGUGAAUAGUGCUGCUCUGAACAUAGGGGUGCAUGUAUCUUUUUCAAUAAAGUUUUGUUGGGAUAUAUGCCCAGCAGUGGAAUUGCUGGAUCAUAUGGUAGCUCUAUAUUUAGCUUCCUGAGCUAGCUCCAUACUGUUUUCCAUUGUGGUUGCGCCAAAUUACAUUCCCACCAAGAGUGAAGGAGGGCACCUUUGUCUCUAUAGCCUUCUUGGCAUUUGUGAUUUGUUGACUUGUUAAUGAUGGCCAUUCUGACUCAUGUGAUUUGGUACCUCACUGUAGUUUUUAUUUGCACUUCUCUAAUAAUUAGAGAUACUGAGCAUUUUUUCAUAUGUCCGUUGGCCAUCUGUAUGUUUUCUUUGGAGAAAUGUCUAUUCAGGUCUUCUGCCUAUUUUUCAAUUGGGCUGUUUUUUUGUUGUUGAGUUGCAUGAGUUAUUUGUAUAUUUUGGAGAUUAGGUCCUUGUCUGUUUCAUCAUUGGCAAAGAUUUUCUCCCAUUCUAUAGGUUGUCUUUUUGUUCUUUUAAAUGGUUUCCUUUGCUAUGCAAAAAAAUUUGAGUUUGAUUAUGUCUCAUUGGUUUGUGUCUUUAUUAUUAUUAUUCUAGGAGGGGAAUCAAACAAGAUGUUGCUAUGAUUUAUAUCAAAGAGCCUUCUGCCGAUGUUUUCCUCUAGGAGUUUUAUAGCAACUAGCCUGAUAUUUAGGUCUUUAAUCUAUUUGAGUUUACUUUUGUAUGCGGUGUUAGAGUGUUCUACUAUCAUUCAUUUACAUGUAGCUUUCCAGUUUUUCCAGCACCAUUUAUUGAAGAGGCUAUCUUUCUUCCACUGUACGUUCUUUCCUCCUUUGUCAUAGAUUAAUUGCCCAUAGGUAUUUGGGUUUAUAUUUGGGCUUUCUAUACUGUUCCAUGGUCUAAAUUUCUGUUUUUAUGACAGUCCAUAUUGUUUUGAUGACUGUAGCUUUGUAGUAUUGUCUAAAGUCAGGAAGCUUGAUUCCUCCAUUUUCGGUUUUCUUUUUCAAUAUUCCUUUGGCUAUUUGGAGUCUCUUGUGUUUCCAUAAAAAUUUUAAAAUAUUCUGUUCUAGUUCUGUGAAGAAUGUCUUUGGUAAUUUGAUAAGGAUUGCAUUGAAUUUGUAGAUUGCCUUGGGCAGUAUAGUCAUUUUGAUAAUAUUGAUUCUUCCAAUCCAAGAGCAUGUUAUAUCUUUCCAUCUGUUUGUGUCAUCUUUGAUUUCUUUCCUUAACAUUUUAUAGUUUUCAGAGUAUAGGUCUUUUGUCUCCUUAGGUAGUUUUAUUCCUAGGUAUUUUAUUUGUUUUGUUGUGAUUGUAAAUGGGAUGGUUUCUCUGAUUUCUCUUUCUGAUCUUUCAUUAUUAGUAUAACGAAAUGCAGUUGAUUUCUGUGUAUUAAUUUUGUAGGCCGCAACUUUCCCAAAUUCAUCGAUGAGUUCUAACAGUUUUCUGGUGCUAUCUUUAAGGUUUUCUAAGUAUAGUAUCAUAACAUCUGCAAACAGUGAUAGUUUUACUUCUUUUCCAGUUUGGAUUCCUUUUAUUUCUUUUUUCUUCUAUGAUUGCUGUGGCUAGAACUUCCAAAACUAUGUAGAAUAAGAGUGAUUAAAGUGGACAUACUUGUCAUGUUCCUGAUCUUAUGGGGAAUAUAUUCAGUUUUUCACCACUGAGAAUGAUGUUAGCUGUGGAUUUUUCAUAUAUAUGUGAAAAAUAUAUAAAAUAUACAUAUAUAUUUAUUAGUUUGAGGUAGGUUCCCUCUAUCCCCACUCUCUGGAGAGUUUUUAAUCAGAAAUUGGUGUUGAAUUUUGUCAAAAGCCUUUUCUGCAUCUAUUGAAGUUAUCAUAUGAUUUUUAUUCUUCAGUUUGUUGAUGUGGUGUAUCAUAUUGAUAGAUUUGUGGAUAUUUAAGAAUCCUUGCAUCCCUGGGAUAAACCCUACUUGAUCAUAGUGUGUGAUCCUUUUAAUACAUACUUGGAUUCAAUUUGCUAGUAUUUUGUUGAAGUUUUUGCAUCUAUGUUCAUCAGCAAUACUGGUCUGUAAUUUUCUUUUUUGUGGUAUCUUUGUGUGGAUUUGGUAUCAUGGUGAUGGUGGCCUCAAAGAAAGAGUUUGGGAGUGUUCCUUCCUCUGCUAUUUUUUGAAAGAGUUUCAGAAGAAUAGAUGCUAACUCUUCUCUGAGUGUUUGAUAGAAUUCACCUGUGUAGCCAUCAGGUCCUGGACUUUUGGUUUUUGGAAGAUUUUUAAUCACAUAUUUCAUUUAAGUACUUGUGAUUGUACUAUUUUAUUAUUUUUUUAAUUAUUAUAGUUGAUUUACACUGUUCUGUUUGUUUCUACUGUACAUCAAAGUGACCCAGCCAUAAAUAUAUACACAUUCUCUCAUAUUAUCUUUCAUCAUGACUGGACAUUAUAAGUGACUGGACAUAGUUCUCUGUGCUAUGCAGCAGGACCUCAUUGUCUAUCCAUUCCAAAUGUAACAGUUUGCAUCUAUUACCCCAAAGUCCAAGUCCAUUCCACUCCUUCUUCGUCCCCCUGCCCCGAAACCUUGGCAACCAUAAGUCUGCUAUCCAUGUCUGUGAGACUAUUUCUGUUCUGUAGAUAUGUUCAUCUGUGUCAUACUUUAGAUUCCACAUAUAAGUGAUAUCAUAUGGUAUCUGUAUUUUUCUUUCUGACUUCACUUAUUUUAGAUCACAAUGUCACAAGUACCUAAGUUACAAAAGUUCAGAUAUGUGUCUAUGUGUUUCUCUAUACGUAAGAAGGAAGACAGAUAUACAGUACAUCUAGAAAUAUUUGCAAGUAAGUAUAGCUCUUUCCUUAGGUAUGUUCAAUGAUUAUAGCCCUGUUACACUGAAAAUUUGUUUGUGGUGAUUGUGUCCUCUUAAAUGGCAAGAAGAAAUCAAGUAGAAUUUUGAAUAUUUUAAAUAAGUGUGUUUUCAUAAAAAUAUAUACUGCAUAUGUGCCUGUAUGCAGUAUGUAACCCUUAAGGCUCAUCCUUACAAUACAGAAUGAAGAUUCCAAUAAAACAUUAUAGGUCUUCUUUCGUGAGAACUAUUAAAAGGUGAGUGGCAUAUAGAUAGUCAGAGGAAGGACAGAAAGCUGGAGAGGACAGACAGAAUCUGAUCAGGCAUUAGAGGUGGGGUAGACAAGAUUUUUGUCCCUAGUACAUCACUCUUCCCUAUAAUCAUGUUCUUUGCUAUGUAAUUUUGCAAUCUCUCCCCCUGAAGCUAGAAUGGGCUUUCCUGUUUCACUUUGAGCUUGACAAUGUGACAUUACUUAGCAAAUGACAUAUUAGCAGACAUAACACAAAGAGGAGCUUGGAAAGUGCUUGCCCCCACUGAACUUUGGGACUCUUGAAUUCUGUCACUGCCAAGAGUGUUUCCCUAGAUUAGCCCUGUCCCAUCAAUGUGAGCUGCAGAAACAGCAUACAAGGACUAGGGAUACCAGCUGGGCUCAGGCUCGGUGAGCUUCUCCAGCCAAGUCCAGAAAUCCAUGACAAGGCAUUAUGAGCAUUUUAAGUGAGAUUUUCAGUGGAUUUUUAGACAGUGAUAUUGUGGUAUUUGCUUACUGACACAGAAAGUGAUUUGGUAUUGGUACUAUAUAAUAAGAUGUUCUUUUUUGUUGUUUUUGGCUGCACCCAUGGCGUAUGGAAGUUCCUGGGCUAGGAAUUGAACCUGCAACUGCAACUCCAGUUGCAACCUGAACCACACCUUCAGCAACUUUGGCUCCUUAACCCACAGUGCCAUAGGGGACCUUCCAAGAUGUUCUUAUAGAUAUAUCGUAAAACUUCUAAAUUGGAGAUCUUAUUGUGAUCUAUCAUUUUUUUUGAUAUGUGUAAGAAGUCAUGGAAUUAACUGAUUUUAUAGAUGAAGAAACUGAGUCUCAGAUAAUCCACUGAUAUCACGACUAUUUUGCGACAGAGCCAGGGUUCAAAGCCAUGCUAUCUGACUCUCAGCUUAUUGCAAUUUCCCAUUCCACUAUGCCUUUUUCAGAAAUAUGAAAGGAUAGAAAUAAUAACAGAAGAAGAUGUAAUGAUCAUAAAUCUAUUUAUUCCAUAACAAAUUGCUAGACUAUCCCUAAAUUUGGAAGUAGACUUACUAACAGAGAUUUAAAGAUUUUUUAUUUUACUCUUUCAACUCCUCAUGCCUCUGUUUAUGACAAAGGCCCAUGAAGAACUGAGUUAGGAAAUAAAGAUUGGAGAAGAAUGGAGAGGGGGAGAAAAACCCCACAGUCGCUAGAUAAUCCAUAAACUAAAACAAUCAGCACUUAAUUGAAUGCACAUGUGUAGACUGAGCAGUUUCCCUAAUAGUGAGGCAGUAGGCAAUGAUUAAUGACUGCAAGAAAUCAGCAAACAAUUCUUCUUGAGCUCUGAAUUGUGUUCUGAAUACAAAAUCUGUUGGAACAGGUGACAUGUUGCCAAGGGUUCUGAGGAGCAGACAGAAGAAAUUGCAAAUCUGCCAACAAUUUAUUUCCAAAGACAGAGAGAAAUGGUGACGUAGCAGUCACAAAAUAAAGCAGAAAGCUUUUUAUAAUUUUUUUUUUCUGUCUGAAGAAUAGUGAGCCAGACUAUGGUUUUAUUAUCAGAGCUACAGAGAAAGACAAAAUGCAAUAAUUAAGAAAUCCAAAGACUGUCAUAAAAGACAAUAUGAAGCAGGAAGUUGAACAAUUACUUAAAGUGCUCAAAAAGCUCAGCUCAGAACUUUACCACUCUAAGUGUUUGGAGGAAAGUGAACGGUUAUCUCAGGAAGAGGGAAACGUUAAAUUUUUAGAUACAGUUGAAUACAUAAGGAUAUGUAUUCAGCCAUCCAUCAAAUACAUAUUUAAGCCCUACAAUGCCCCAAAUGUAAAUUUUGUAAGAGGAGAAACAUGAAGAUACCAUUCACAGUUCCAUCCCCAUAAACUAGAGCAGAAUCUAUUGCACAAAAUAUGCUUUAAAAUACCUAAUUGAAGAAUGAGUAAGAGGAUAAUGCUACUUUCAUGGGGCUUACAAAGGA
RNAcentral lists this long non-coding RNA (5223 nucleotides) under Sus scrofa (pig). RNAcentral describes it as "lncRNA (ENSSSCG00060053124.1)". The record is from RNAcentral. Lineage: Eukaryota; Metazoa; Chordata; Mammalia; Artiodactyla; Suidae.